Molecule: long non-coding RNA, 17336 nt
Filed under: Gossypium barbadense (sea-island cotton)
Lineage: Eukaryota; Viridiplantae; Streptophyta; Magnoliopsida; Malvales; Malvaceae
Description: long non-coding RNA (GBAR_LNC018418)
Source: RNAcentral
AGGCCAUACACCAGAUGCGGGCUAGUUGAGACCAGGUACAAACAUCAGUGAAAUAAUUAGGGUUCCUUCAAUUAGAAACCCCAUAUCAAAAUACUGAAGACGAUGGCCACCUUUCUCAUGAAGUCGGUUCGACCUCCAGAGGCUAUCUAGGUCCAUCAUGGAUAAUCAAACGAUUGGAAAAGUUACUAGGCAAGAUUUGACCCGUGGGACUGGAAUGAAAUCGUGCCGGAGUUGGCUUGCUAGGACCGCCGUAGUCGUAGUUGAAUUGAUAGAAACACCAUUGAUCGAGAUGACCAUAUCGAUUGCAUAUCUAGCACUGCAUCUGAGGACAAAAAUUACGCCCACGCGAGCCAGUAGAGAAGCGACCGCUACACCUAGGACGUAGAGCAAACUCAGUCACCGCCAAGGCCGGAGAAGCUUCAGCCAAAUUCACAUAGAUCGGUACGUCUUGCACCGCUUGCGUCUGGCGAUUCUCAAAUUCCAUCUGCAUAUCAACCAAUAGUUGAAACGGAAGUGUCUCCGACGAAAAUGAUGCGAGAGUCAAGACCGUAUCAAAGUCGAAUGAAAGACCAGCAAUAAUCACUUUUACCUUUUUGGCCUCCGAAACAACAGAUCUAGAAGCCUCAAGUGGGGCAGAGGUGUUCUGAACCUUGGCUAUGAAUUUGGUAAUAGUUAACGUACCUUUCUUUAGAGAGUGCAACUCAUGCUUGAUUCAUAAAAUUUUAGCACCGGUGGAGGUAGCAAGCAGCCGAUUGACAGUAGUCUAGAUAUCACACGCCAUUUUAGCAGCUGUAAAUGAAGAUAAUAAAGACACAGUAAUGGUGGAGACUAGUCAGGAGGCUAAAAGCUUAUCUUGUUGAAGAAAGACAGAUGCAUCUAGAUUUGAAGUCAGAGCACCAUCCAGAGACGCCACGAACCUAGGCGGAGUAGGUAGAGUACCAUUUAAAAAACCUUGCAGCUCAUAUCCUUCUGUGAUUAAUCUAAUAUGUUGCUGCCACUGCACAAAAUUCUUCUCAUCUAUUUCUUUGUGUCAUGACGAGUAAAAGCUUGAAUCAAUCGUGAACUGGAAAAGGAUGGAGUAGAACGAUCAACAGACGUGGAACCUUAUGAAUUAGCCAUAGAAAAGUAGUGGAUGUCGACCUUAGGAGGUUAGGCGAUUAAUACCAUGUUAGAUACUAUGUAGAAAAUGUAUGAACAAAAAGAUAAGCUACUGAGUAAUUCUUUAAUCAACAUUUCUUCAGUCUUGAGUGAAUACAUUGACUAUGUUUAUAUAUUCAUAUGAGAGUAACUGUUCUUAACCAACUUCAUAUCAAACUGAUUACUAGAUUUGAUAACAAACUAACAACCUUAAUAGUCUUUAUACCAAUGUUUAACACAAUCAUAGUUAAUACCUGCUUAUUUUUUUAGAGCAUUGCUCAAACCCUUGUAGUAGAAUACAUGUAUACCUAGUUUGACAGAAUUAUUACAAUUUCAUAAGACUUCAGAGUAAGGCAAUAAUGCAAUUAGAAAUGGCGGAUACCUCCCUUAACUCUUCAGAUUUACACUUUGGCUUAAAAACAUCUUUUUUUAUCAUAUACAACUAAAACUAGGAGAUGAAUGUCUGCUGGUAGGGAGGGAUUGAGUGAAAAAGAUUUUCUCCAAGAUUUUGAUGAAUCUUGUUCUUGCUUUGUGGGGUUGUCCAUCUUUGUUUGAAUAGAACAAUUAGGCAGUGGUGUGUUGUUAUGCGGUUCUAGUGACUGUUGUCUAAAUUCUUGCAAAUAAUUUUGUGGGGCAUUAGAGUUGUGUUUGCUGUAAGCGGUGGUUUUUGUCGUUUCUUGGCCCUGAAGUGGUGGGAUCAUGCUGACAAGUGCAUAUUGUGGCCCUGGUGGUGAACUUUUUUCCCCUUGAUUUGUAUGUUGUUACGUGUCUCUUUACUAUUAUUAUGCAUGGCUUUUACGUUCUUUUAUGAAUAAAAGUCUUUCUUGUUUUUUCUUUUUUAAUAACCAGUAGGUAGGUUUUUGUCUUUAGAAUUUGUCAUUUUCGUUGCUUCUUUUAUCCUUUUUGGUUAUUCUUCAAGUUUCAUUACUACUUUGUUAAACUUAAGUUGUUAUUUUCUUUCAACCUUGCUUUCUUACUUUCUAAACUAGCCCUUGAGUUGCAUCUUCCUCUUUCAAUGUACUUCGAUCUCUAGUAUGUUGUGAAUUUCUUGUGCUUUCUUCUUGUGGUUCCUUUGGAUUUUGUGAUUCUUGUAAUUCUUUCCUGUGGAUUUUGUUUAUGCAGGUUAUGAAGGUUUUUUUUAGUAUUUUUGCUUAUUACUAAACACUGUGCUUGGUAAGUCCAGUUUGGUGGGGAAAGAUUUUGACCUCUCGGUGUGGAAGAAGUGGGAAUUCUCUCAAUCAACCUGGGGGCACAUUAUCGGGACAACUCUCCCUAGUCUUGCUCGUAUUUCUUGGGAAGUGUUAAUCUAUCGUCGGCUUUGGUAGAGUUAGCCCCUAGUUCUUCUUCUUGUUCCCUUUGCUUUAGUUUUGGUUUUCAUUUGUUUCAACUCUUUCCCUAUUUUCUUAAAAUAUUGUAAUAUUUCAGGACUAUUUAAGGGACUGUUCUAUUUGGAUUUGGGGCAUUUUUUCACCCCUUUCGUGUGUUUCUUUGUUUGCUUGACUAGUUUGUUCAUGAUCUGUUAUUACUUUAUCAUUGUAGGAUAGCCUUUCUCAAUUUUUUUAGUAUUUUUUUACUACUUACUCGUGUUUUACUUUUAUUUUACCUUAUUUCUUCUUCUGUGGCGAGUUUUUUCAUGUUUUUUGUCUCUUUUCCUUGCAGCUGUGGUGAGGGCGAAGGUUUUGGUCCCUGGUGGCUGUUGAAUCUGGCUUUGUUAGGUGUGAAGAGGAUUGCUAUUCUAUGCGUUUCAUAAAGUUCCAGCUUUGGUGGUUAAGGGGCUUGGCUCUCUUGAUUCGUAAGGUGGAUACUCCCUUGAUUUCUUUGAGGGCAAUCGAGUUGAAUAAGCCUUCGUUGAUUAUUUGCGCCUCAUGGUAUGUGCUGACUCAUUAUUGGGAUCGGUGGCUGUUCUAAUGUUUUUCUUAUUUUUCUUAUAUUACCUCGCAUUUUCAGUCUUUUCCCUGUAUUCAUUCCGUUUCAUGUAACUGUAAGGGUCUUUUUAAUAAGGUUUGGGGUGGUUUUCACUCCUUUUUUGUGUUGCUUUCUUUAUCGAUUGAGAAUGUUAUGAACUAUUAUUGUUUCAUCAUUUUAGGAUAGUUUACUGCUUGUUGUUUUGUGAUAUUUUUGCUAUUUUGUGUGUUUUUCUUUUACCCCUAUAUAUAGUUAUUUUCAUUUUGGCUUCUCUGGUGCUUUGCUUGCGUCUGGAUUGGUAGGUGGUGACUGCGACUCUUGGUGGGCUGUGUUUACUUGGUUCUGUUAAAUGUGUAGGGAGUUUGUUGUUUAUGCGCCUUUCCUGUCUUGGUGGUCAUUACGGCUGAUGAUCUAAAUGAGAUGCUCGUAAAUUUAAAGUUUUUGGAGUUUGAAAAAGAAAGAGUGAUGUAUUGAAAUGGUACAAAUUCGGGCAUGUAGGGAUUUGAGGCAUGGGAAGUUGGAAAAAUUAUGUUUGAGGAGAAUAUAAAUAGGGAGGCAAUGUAUAAGGUUCUAAAAUCUCUAUGGUAUACGAAAGAACCGGUAAAUUUUUUGGCAAUGAUGGAUGGGCUGUUUUGAAUGAAAUUUGGGUCAAAGGAGGAUAGAGAAAGGAUCUUUAAUCUGUCCCACUGUAGUUUUGAUCAAUGUUGAUUUUCCAUGGUGCCGUUUGUGAAAGGUCAAGACUUAAGCAACUAUAAUUUAUACUAUGUGCCAUUUUGGGUCUAAAUUUUGAACAUUUGAUUGGAAAGAAUGGACCGAAAAGUGCAAUUGAUGUUGGAGGAGCUAUAGGAGAGGUUUUUGCUAUUGAUUAGAGAGAUAGGGAUGACUGCUAGAUUGGAUAUAUUAGGGUGAGGGUUAUAAUGGACAUCUCUAAACCCUUGAGACGUGUUGUAUAUUUGGUUGGGUCUGAUGAAGAUGAGAUCAUGUGUGCCAUCAAGUAUGAAUGAUUACCUACAUUUUGCUAUAUAUGUAGUUGUAUAGAACAUCAAACACAAAAACGCGGGUAAGCUGAAAGUAUCAAAUGCAUGGAUAAUCCAAAAUUUCAAUAUGGUAAUUGGCUAAGGGUCAAAUUGGGACAACUAAAUCAGGGUAUAAGUCUUCGGCAAAAUGAAAUCGAAACCUUAGUAAUAAUUAGAGAAGGGCAAAAAGGAGCAGAUAGGAGGUCCGAAAGUACAGAUCAGAAGGAGCAUUUAGUGAUGAUAUAGAGGGGCAAAGAAAAGGUUAAAAUAGGGGAUGAGGUAUCGAAAUCAUGCUCGCUAACAAGUAAGCAAGCGUCUUAGACUAUGAGGGAGAAUCCUGGAAGAAUAAGAAUCAAAUGUAAAAAGAACAAGGCAGGGAACAGGGAAGGUUUGGAUGAAAGCCCGAUAAGAAUAUUUCAUAGGAAAUUAAUGGAGGGAGCUUCUCCUUUCAAGGCAGCGGCUGGUGAUCAGCCCAGUCCGGAGCCAUGAAAAUCCUUUAUUGGAACUAUUGUGGGUGCGAGAGCCCUGCGACAAUUCGUGAGUUGAGAAAGCUCCUCACUGUCAAGAAUCUUGUUAUUUUUUUGAAUGAAACGAAGCUUAGGGCUAACGAGUUUGAGUGUAUUCGGGUUCGUUGUAAGAUGGAUGAUUAUUUUGUUGUGGAUCUGGAUAGUCGUAAAGGAGGCCAUUAUGGAGGAAUAAGGUGGAUAUGACUAUUCAAAAUUACUCUGAGCAUCAUGUGAACUUUGUGGUUAAAAUGGAGGGGAAUGACUAUAUUCGUUUCACGGGCUUUUAUGGUUAUCUGAACCCUAAUAAGAGACAUUUGUUGUAGAGCACCCUUCGGAGGGUUGGGACUCUUAUGAGUGGGGAUUUGGUUGUUGGGGGGGAUUUCAAUGAAGUGAUGGAUGAUGCUAAGAAGUGUGUGGGGGGGGGGAGACAGACCUAGAGUAGGUAUGGAUAAUUUUCGGAAGCUUGCCUUGGUUGAUGUCAAACCCGAUAAGGGGUGGUUCACUUGGAUGAAUAACGGCGAAGGGAAUAUAGAGGUUAGGGAAUGUCUUGAUAGAUUCUUGGUUUUGGCUUCUUGGCUGGGCUGUUCUCUAUUUUUAUCCUCAAGCGUAAUAUGUCAGACUUGCUCGGACCAUGAUGCCGCGUUGCUUGAUACUUUGGGUAGGAAGCCGAGGGAGGACAUAAGGGAUCCGAGGCUAUCUUUUCGGUUUGAGGCUUGUUGGGCCAAGGAGAACGAGGCUAAGGACAUGAUCAAAAGAGUUUGGGAUCAGUGUGAUAGGGAUGUGUUGACUUGGAUUGAUUACAUUUGCCUUCAUUUAGGGAGAUGGUAGUUUCGACAAUUUAAAAAGGGGCAAGAUUGUAUGUGGAGUUUAACUGACAGGAUUGAUAAACUAAUGGAUGGGUCGAUGUUGGAAUCAAAUAUUGAGAGAUUCCGAGCCUCUUGGGUGGCAUUUGGUUGCUUGUAUGAGGAGGAGUGGUAUUGGGCUCAGAGGUCUUAGAUUCAGUGCCUUAAAGAGGACGACUGGAACACCCAUUUUUCACGUUAAGGCUUGUAGGAGAAAUAAAAAGAACAAGAUUUAGGGUUUACUAGACCCUAACGGUAAUUGGGUUUCUGAUUCUAGAGGUAUUCUUCAGGUGGCUUGGGAUUACUUUUAUUCCCUAUUUAAAAUCGAGGCUUGUGGUAACCUUGAGAGGGCAUUGGUUUUGAUUCCAAAUUGUAUCACUUCUAAUAUGAAUGGUGCGUUGGAUAGUUGUGUGUUUGAUAUGGAGCUCAUUGAAGCUUUUAAUCAAAUGGAUCCUCACAAGCUUUCUGGUAUUGAUGGGCUUUCAAGCCUUUUCUAUAAGGAAAAUUGUGGGGUGGUUGGUAAGGAUGUGCUCCAGCUUUGUUAUGAGGUUCUGGAUGGGCAUACAGACAUCAAAGAUAGUAAUAAAGUUGUUAUCGCUCUUAUCCCCAAAAUUGAUGAUCCUAAGGUUAUGACUCACUUCUGUCCUAUCAGCCUUUGUAGGUUUAUUUAUAAGAUGAUCUUUAAGGCGUUAGCUAAUAGAUUAAAAACUGUUCUUUUGACUUGUAUCAGUCAGAACUAGAGUACGUUUGUGCCGGGGUGUAUGAUUUAUGAUAACUUCCUUAUCACUCAUGAGUUUUUGCAUUACCUCCAGAGUUCUAAAAACGAGUCGAAUAAAGGGUUUAUUAUUAAACUCAAUAUGAGUAAAGCUUAUGACUGAGUUGAAUGGGAAUUCAUAGAGAAAGUGAUGAUUCACAUGGGAUUUUUUUCUUUCUAGGUCACUUUGGUUAUGAAGUGUGUUCGUACUAUGAGCUACAUUGUUAAAUGUAAUGCUUCCCUCACUGAUGUGAUUAUUCUUGAGAGAGGGCUUCGUUAGGGAGAUCCAUUUUUGCCCUAUAUUUUCUUGUUCUUUAUGGAGGUGCUCUCUAGAUUGCUUUUGGGAGCCCAAAUGAAGGGGAAGAUCCAGAGGAUUAGGGCUAGUCAGAAUGGGCCCAGGAUUAAUCAUCUUUUCUUUGCGGAUGAUGCGCUUUUUUUUGUUUGUAACAAGAAGGAGGGGGUUGAGACUGUUAAGUCCUUCACUACUUCAAGAUGAUUUCAGGGCAAAAGAUUAAUCCGUCCAAGUCUAUUCUUUACUUUAGCCCUAAAAUCUUGAGAGAUCAAAGGGUACAGUUGAGUGGUAUCUUGGGUGUGCGGGUCCUCGAGUCCAUGGAUAACUAAUUGGGCUUGCCUUUGAUCAUUUUCAAGAAUAAGACGAGGGCUUUUCAGCAUAUUAUUGAUCGAUUUUCUCUUAGGAUAAAAGGCUGGUCUAAAAGUCUUUUAUCUUAUGGUGGUAAGGACAUCUUUAUUAAAUAAGUUCUAUAAUCUUUACCUACUUAUGCAGUUUUGAUUUUUCUUGUUCAUAGGGGCACCCUUGAUGUGAUGAUUUUGAGGAUAAGGAGCUUUUGGUAGGCAAAAAAGAACAAAGAUCGUGGAUGGGCGAUGAUGGUGUGGGACUCUCUUUGUACACCUAAGAGUGUGGGUGGCCUUGGCUUUAGGGACUUAAGGCUCUUCAAUAUUUCGCUUCUCAGAAGAAAAGUAUGGUGGCUCAUCAAUAAUAAGGAUACCUUAUGCUAUCGAGUGCUUUUCUCCUAGUACUUUCAGAUAGGUGGCGGCAUGACCGCUAGGUUCGGGAUUAAUAGAUGGGGCUUUAAGGGUCUUGAUGGCAACUAGUUGAGGACUUCAUUCAAUGGCAUUCGAGAUGGUUUGGUGAGUGAGUUGUGGAGUCCUAAUUCAUGUGUGUGGGAUAGAGAUCAGGUGGUUGAGCUUUAUGGCCACGAGCUAAGUGAUCUUAUCUAUACCUUAUUAAGUGUUCAGCAUGGUCCACCGGAUCGAAUUGUUUGGUUUCACAACAAGUCCGGGUGCUAUACAUGAAAAUCUAACUAUUCCUGGCUCAUUCUCAAGAAGAUGGGUUAUGGGCCGCAUCAUUUAUUUUGGAGGACUAUAUGGAAACUCCACGUGCUUCCCAAAAUCCAUAUCUUUGCGGUCAAUCAUAAUGUACUCCCAACUAAUGUCAAAAUGGCUUCGAUUUUUCAAGGCUUCGAUCGGGCUUGCCACCUGUGUGGGCUUGAAGUUGAAACUAUUAUCCUUGCUAUUAGAGACUGUUCUAAAUCUCGAGCGGUUCUUUCUUUUUGUGGGCUUGAUGGAUGUUUACUUAACUCUUCUUAUGAGAGUUGUAUUGACUGGCUUGAGGAUGCUACUCGUGUUUUGGAUCUUAAGGUAUUUGAGAAUCUCACCACAAUUUUAUGAAAUAUUUGGAAUGGUCACAACAAUGCAUUUUUCGGGGGCAAGGGGGAUGAUGCUCGGUUGGUAUGAGAACGGGCGAGAACUUUUGGGGAUGAUUUUAGGAUCUAUAAUCUUUGAACGAUGCCAUUAAGUUUAAUGUUGAUGUGGUGGUUUUUGACUUGGCGGUAGGCAUAAGGAUUAUUGCAAGGGAUCACGAUUGUUUUGUGUUAGGUGGAUGCGCGAUCUUUUUGAACCAUAAGAUGGAUUAGAUGGAUGCGCGAUCUUUUUGAACCAUAAGAUGGAUAUUGAAUAGGCUGAGGUGGAAGCUUUAAGGGAAGGGAUUAUUUGGGCUCAUAUGAACGUCACUAGGGCUUUUUUCAAGAUCGAUUGUGUGAGUUUAGUCAAUCUAUUUAAGUCUCAUCACGAGGACAUUUUGAUCUUUUGUUUCCGUUUGAAGGAAAUUUUUAGUUUGUUGGAUUCUUUCAUCAACUUUAAGAUUGAGUGGGUUAGUCAUUCGCUCAAUAGAGUGACUGAAAACCUUUGUAAACUUGCUGUUAAUAACCACUGUACAUUUCCUUUUAACAUGAAGUAUCUGAGCGAUAUCCAUGGGCUUGUACUUGCUGACGCUUGUUAAUUUCAAGGUAGUGGCCUUCGGGCCCAUUUUGAUAAAAAAACUACAAUCCAAUACCUUUUCAAUCCAUAUACAUUCAUUCAUCUCUAGCCCAAGUAAUAGGACACUACACCACCGUCUCAUCAUCAAUAAACACAAAAUAUCUCAUUAACGUGCGAUUAACAUCAUAAUCAAAUAACUAUAUGAGGUUUAAGUCUAAUCUUCCCUAGACGAAGUUAAAAUUUGCUAAACAUACAAUAAUCGACCUUAUAACAAGAUAAAAGCAUGCUUAAAGAUCACUUAACAUAAAUUUGUAAAAGAUCACGUAGGUAUCGAUACCCAUACGAUGGUAUUGAUAUUUCUCAUAGAUGGUAUCGAUACCGUAUAGAAAAUUGGCACCAGAUUAGCAUUUUGUUUUCCUACAAAAUUUAAAGCCCAAAAAAUUAUUGAUAUAUAUAAAAAAAUUUCAGUAUUUUUACCCCGAGUAUCAAUACUUGAGAAAUUGUAUCAAUUACCAAAUUGAGUUAUUGACUUCCUACGCAUUCAAAAUAUCAUGGAGGUAUCGAUACUAAAUACCUGAUUAUCGAUACCUUUGCACAGAAUAGUAAAAAUAACAGCAAAAUAGGGCAUUUAGCACAAUCAUACCUGUACCAAUUCAAGAUGCAUCUUAAUUUCAAAGUUUGACACAAAAAAUAUCUGAAAUUACAACUCAAAGUAUCAUCAAUAAUUUAAGCCAAGACAAAACCAAUAACAUAAUAUCAAACAUACAUCAAUUUCUAAGAGUCUAAAAUCAUAUCAACCAUUUAAAGCAUAAUAAUAAUCAACCAAAAAUGUCUACCACAUUGCCUUAUUCACACAAUUCAAAGAAUAAUAUUAAUACCACCUAUGUAAAUACUAAAGCCUAACUUGGAUCACUUCCUUGGAAUUUUCGCACCGCUUACACCACAAGCGCUAAAUAUCUACAAUGGUUAGAAAGAGUGGGUGAGCUUAAACAAGCUCAGUGAAUGUCGGAAUAACCACAAAGUAUACACAACAUCAAAGGUUAAAUAAAAGCAUACUACAACACAUUCACAACCGUAUUCUAAUCAAGUCAAAAUAACAUUUUCACGCUUCAUUAAAUCAUAAAUCUAAUAUAUACUCUCACAUGCAAUUACACAUUACUAUGAUGACAUGCUAACAUAUUCAUACAAUAUUAAUAAACUCAAUUAGCUUAUUUAUUCACAUGUUCAUGCAUACAUCACAUGCCGUAAUAUCACUUUCUAUAAAAUCACAUUUAACGAUAAUUUAUUAAGACAAAACAAUGUGUUCAUGCUUUAAUGACCCGCUAGACUAGCUUAUAUAUAUUCACUUGCAUUUACACACAACAUUUCCAUAUAUUAAUUAAUUAAUGAUAAUUUGGUAACUUGGAAGCAUGAAACAUAAAAGUGGGCUCUACCACCACACAUUGGAUACACGAAUCUCCAUUACACCAAUGACUCAAAGAGUCGAACAUAUCCCAAAAGCAUAGCAUUUAGCUAACACUCUCCAACACACUAACAUAUCCCGGUGAAUGAAGGUUAGCUCAUAUUCCCUUAUCUCUCCAAAUUGUCUCGGAGCCUUAAUGCCCAAAUCACAAAACACAAGGGUGAGUACUCACAAUCUUAUGGCAUGCCAACUAUAUCCAAUGGUUUCAAGAGAUCACAAGGCCAAAAUAUCCGCAAAUACACACAUUUAAUUACUAUUCUUAUGCACUUAAUCUCUAUUCAUAAACAUUAAUUCACAUAACAAUUUGUACAUAUAACACACUUAUUGGAUUCAUAUUUAAUUGCACUACAAGUGCCACAACUAUGUUUAUUAAGCCAUCACAUAAUUGUCCACCUAUGUGUGCAUUAAAGUCAGUUUAUCACAUACAACUAUUCACACACAUUACCUGUUACAUUAACAUCACAUUCCACAAUUCAACACAUACAUACUUACCCUUUUUUUCACUGCACAUUUAUAUCACUAACACAAUAUCAUCACUGUCAUUCAACAUAUUUAAUAUGCCCACAACUAACACACUCACAAGAGCUACCACAAUACAUAUCACAUGUUACAUUGUCAUAACUUAAUACUCAAUCCACAUCACACAAUCACAUGCUUUGCAAAUUAAAUGAAGGGUAUAAGAACACUUACACUCAGAACUUAAAGUAGGGGUUUAGGCUACUCCUAAACUCCCAAUUAACACUAUGAACUGUGUCUACUAGCAGUGAUUCCAAACACUCACUGUUCAUGUUUCCGCCUAUUUGCCGAAAGCUUAAACUAGCUUUUCCUUGCCUUUCGCCUUACUCGAAGAAGGUCCCAAUUACUCCAAAACUUCACACAUAAUAACCACAGAAUAUAGAAAAUCAAUUAGUAUCCAUAAAACACCUUCAACAAAAAAAACAUAGGUCUAAGGCUAGUUUCUCUUGGAACUGAAAUUUUUGACAAACAAACUUGAAACUCAAAUAUCUUAAUCUUUACUCAUUCCUAUUACCUAUAAUAGUUCCAAUAAUCUAAUAUACACAAUCAAUUAGUAGUUAUAACACACCUUAAACAAACAAAAACAUAGGUCUAAGGCUAGUUCCUCUUGGAACUGAAAUUUUUGACAAACAAACUUGAAACUCAAAAUCUUAAUCUUUACUCAUUCCCAUUACCUAUAAUAGAUUCCAAUCAUCUAAUAAUAAAUCUAAGAAUAAUUCUCAACCUUUAAACUACACAAAAAUACAUAGAUUCAUGGUUUCAAAAUUUUGACAUACUAUGACAAUUUUCACGAAAAUUUAACAAAAGCUUAGAAUUAUUUAACGUAACUUUAAGGGAAGUUUAGAAACCUUCUAGUAACUUUAAAACAAGUUGAAAAACACUUUGAAACAUAGUUUUUAUACAUAAUCUCAAAUUUCACCAUUAACGACCUAAAUUUUGGCAGUUAUUCAAAACUCUUAAUUCAAUAGAUAAAAACUCAAUCUAAUAGCAGUUUUGGUUAGGGGUUUAUGAAUGGAUUCUAGCCCAAUUCAACGGGCCCACCACCAAACAUUAAUUUGGUUAACUAUAAUGGCAUUACGACCUAAAUUGAUUCAGAGUGUAUUACAAGAAGAGGCUAAAUAACCAUUCAUUUCCCUCACCAUUGAAUAGCCAUUCAACCCCAUGGGAUAAGAAUUUUUUUUCUAUUUUUAAUUUUUGCCCUCACCUUUACCCAAAGAAUGAAGAAGUUGUAACUGGAACUAUCAUGUUCACCCUCCUAACUUCCUUUUCUUCCCAUCAAUAUGUUUCCCUUCUACCUUUGAUUGCAGAGGAGACCUAGGUUAAUCUAUUGAAGCCAUCAUUCUUUAUUGUUUCUUCUUUUUCCUCACCUUUUAAGUUAAUAAAACCAUUUAGUUGUAAAGUUGUAACCUUUUUUUUUUUUGCUUUUUCACUACAUUUCUGAUUUCCCUUAUUUGAAAUUUUUGGUAGUUAGAAUCAUUAAAAAUGAAUUAAGAUCAACAGGAAUGGGGAAAUCUAGGACUUUGAGCACGAGGUGGCAGUGGCAAUGAACUUACUUGUUAUUUUAGGAUUGGAUGGUGGAACUGUUGAAUAUUGGCAAUAUCCCACAUUAGGAAAAGAUAGAAAGGGAGGGGGUUUGGUUUGUUAUAUAUAGAACCCCUCCCCAUUUGGUUGUAUCAUCCCAAAAUCUUCUCCUUUGUAAUAUUUCUAGAAGAAAUAUUAAUUUGGUAGUGUCCGAGGACGUAAGCUAAAUUGGCCGAACCUCGUUAAAUCUCUGGUAUUUUAUUUCUUAUUUGUUUGCUUAUAUUUAAUAGCUUUAUGUUGGUUAUAUUUAUUUAGUUAUUAUUGCUAUAAAUAUCUAAGUGAGUUCUGUCUAGUUGUUGGGUUUUAAGCGGGACCAUUUGUGACCCCUCCAAUUUAACUGGGAAUUUUCUUAGUAUAAUUGUUGGCAUAAUAAUUAUCUAAAUAUUUCUGAUAAUAUUGUUAUUAAUAUUAUCGUGCUUCCGCAACAAUUGGUAUCAGAGCCAAGGUUUUGUAGUAUGCUCUGUGUUUGCAGCUUAGUCUGAUCUUACACAUCAGAAACAUUUCCUAAAGCUUGUGGGUAUUCUGCAUUUGGUGGCUAUUAAGUAGAAGCUAUGGCAAAAAUGACAGAAGAAAAACCAUCCAUAUCAACAACUUCCACUUCGUACAUUUUGCCGAGGAUUGGAACUGCAAAUACGAGAUUUGUAGUGGAAAUUUUUAAUGGAACAGGUCAUUUCGGCAUGUGGCAAAGUGAGCUUCUAGAUGCCCUCUUUCAACAGGGUCUAGAUAUUGCCAUUGAGGAAGAAAAACCAGAAGGGGUUGAUGAUAAAGAAUGGAAGACCAUCAACCGAUUGGCAUGUGGUACAAUUCGAUCAUGUCUUUCCAGAGAGCAGAAGUAUAUAUUCAGUAAAGAGACUUCUGCAAGUAAAUUGUGGAAAGCAUUGGAGGAGAAAUUCCUGAAGAAGAACAGUCAAAAUAAGUUGCAUAUGAAGAAAAGACUGUUUCGUUUCAGUUAUGUUCCUGGUACCACAAUGAACGAGCACAUUACCAAUUUUAAUCAGCUGGUGGCUGAUUUGUUGAAUUUGGAUGUGACUUUUGAAGACGAAGACUUGGCGUUAAUGUUGUUGGGAUCGCUUCCAGAGGAGUUUGAGUACCUUGAAACUACUUUACUUCAUGGAAAGUCGGAAGUAACUUUCAAUGAAGUAACUGCUGCAUUGUAUAGCUAUGAACUACGCCGAAAGGAUAAGUUGAAAGGUUCAAGUGAAGCAGCAGUGGAAGCAUUGGUAACAAGAGAUCGUCAGGAAAGUCAGUCUAAGGGGAAGAGAAGAAAGUCCAAAGGUCGAGCUGUUGCCAAAGAUGAAUGUUCCUUUUGCAAAGAAAAAGGACAUUGGAAGAAAGAUUGUCCAAAAUUGAAGAAAAAAGGGAAGACUCCGCAAGAUGCAAAUGUUGCAGAAUGCAAUAGUGAAGCAGAGUCAGACUUUUCUCUUAGUAUGACAUCUUCAACAUUAUAUGCAGAUGAGUGGAUCAUGGAUUCUGGUUGUUCCUAUCAUAUGUGUCCCAUUCGGGAAUGGUUCUUUGAAUUUCAAAAACUAGAUGAAGGGGUUGUUUACAUGGGUAAUGAUAACACAUGUAAAAUAGCCGGGAUAGGUUCAAUUAAACUGAGGAGUCAUGAUGGAUCUACUAGAAUUUUGCGGGAUGUACGAUAUGUCCCAAAGUUGAAGAAGAAUCUCAUCUCUUUGGGGUCGUUAGAAUCUAAAGGCCUAGUUGUGACAAUACGAGAUGGAGUUCUUAAAGCAACUUCAGGAGCAUUGGUGAUGUUGAAAGGCAUAAGAAAGAACAAUCUGUAUUACUACCAAGGUAGUACAGUGGUCGGGACAACAGCAGCAGCAAUUUCGAGUACCAAGAAGGACGCUGAGGCAACACAGUUGUGGCAUAUGCGUUUGGGCCAUGCUGGUGAAAAAUCCUUGCAAACUCUAGCCAAGCAAGGAUUAUUGAAAGGUACAAAGACUUGCAAACUUGAAUUUUACGAGCAUUGUGUUCUGGGAAAACAACGAAGGGUGAAAUUUGGCACUGGGAUUCACAAUACUAAAGGUAUUCUGGAUUAUGUGCAUUCUGAUGUAUGGGGACCGUCCAAGACUCCAUCACUUGGAGGAAGACGUUAUUUUGUCACCUUUAUUGAUGAUUUUUCCAGACGAGUUUGGGUGUUUCCUAUGAAGAACAAAGAUGAGGUGCUUGAAGUUUUCCUUAAGUGGAAAACUAAAAUUGAAAAUCAGACAGGAAGGAAGAUUAAGGUUCUCCGAUCAGACAACGGUGGAGAAUAUAAAAGCGAUCCAUUCCUGAAGAUAUGCCAAGAUUGUGGCAUAGUAAGGCACUUCACCGUAGGUGGAACACCGCAACAGAAUGGGGUGGCAGAGCGUAUGAAUCGAACGCUUGUGGAGAAAGUUCGAUGUAUGUUAUCUAAUGCUGGAUUAGAUAGAAAGUUUUGGACUGAGGCUGUGACGUACGCUCAACAUCUCAUCAAUCAUUUGCCAUCAUCUGCUAUAAAUGGCAAGACUCCUUUGGAGAAAUGGUAUGGAAAACCUGCUACUGAUUAUGACACCUUGCGCAUUUUUGGUUCUAUUGCAUAUUAUCAUGUGAAAGAAUCAAAGUUAGAUCCAAGAGCAAAGAAGGCUCUAUUCAUGGGCUUCAAUGCUGGUGUUAAGGGAUAUCGUUUGUGGUGUCUAGAGGCAAAGAAGACGAUAAUCAGUAGGGAUGUUACCUUUCAUGAAUCUGCCAUGUUGAAUAAGGUAAAUCCAGAAGGAGUGAGUAGUACUUCGCAGCAGGUGGAGUUUGAGCAGAGUGUGGUAAUUCCAGCAGAAGGUACCACUAGUGAUUCUUCAUUGGCAGAUGCAGAGUCAGAUGAGGAAGAGGUUUCUACCCAAGAACCUCAACAGCAAUCAGAGCCAAUUGCAGUCAGAAGGCAGAGACGAGAAAUUCAGAAACCUGCUCGUUUCACUGACAUGGUAGCUUAUGCACUUCCAGUUGUUGAUAAUAUUCCAUCCACUUACACCAAAGCCAUUCAGAGUUUAGAGAAUAAUAGAUGGUUAGGUGCAAUGGAAGAGGAAAUGCAAUCUCUAGAGAAAAACAAGACGUGGAAGCUGGCACAACUACCAAAAGGGAAGAAGGCGAAUGGUUGCAAAUUUGAAGACACUAUUGAAGUUAGUGUUAUGAGAAGAUGUUCGAAGAUGUGGAAUAUCGCCAAGGUGGAGAUUUGUUGAAUAUUGGCAAUAUCCCACAUUAGGAAAAGAUAGAAAGGGAGGGGGUUUGGUUUGUUAUAUAUAGAACCCCUCCCCCUUUGGUUGUAUCAUCCCAAAAUCUUCUCCUUUGUAAUAUUUCUAGAAGAAAUAUUAAUUUGGUAGUGUCCGAGGACGUAAGCUAAAUUGGCCGAACCUCGUUAAAUCUCUGGUAUUUUAUUUCUUAUUUGUUUGCUUAUAUUUAAUAGCUUUAUGUUGGUUAUAUUUAUUUAGUUAUUAUUGCUAUAAAUAUCUAAGUGAGUUCUGUCUAGUUGUUGGGUUUUAAGCGGGACCAUUUGUGACCCCUCCAAUUUAACUGGGAAUUUUCUUAGUAUAAUUGUUGGCAUAAUAAUUAUCUAAAUAUUUCUGAUAAUAUUGUUAUUAAUAUUAUCGUCGCUUCCGCAACAGGAACCACUUCUACCGCAUACAUUUCUAUGCCAAUUAUUCUUUUCUCCGACGCCUUUCUUGGCCCUCUUCUUGUUCUCUCCCAUGCCGUCACAGGCUGCUCCAAUCAUAAUAGUGUUGGUGAUAAUUUUAUUCCCUCCUUUUGAUUUUUUUAUUUAUUGUUGUUUUUAAUCUUAGGGUUCUCAUUUUUGUUUUUCUUAGUUUCUAUAAUGCCAAAUAGUUUCUUAAUGAAAUGGAAAUUCGUAUGUGAAAUUUUAACUAAUAUAUUUGUUUAGCACACAUUACUGAUGUUUUUUUUUGCUUUUUGGCGAACUAUUGAAUAUUUGAAUUAUUUACUGGAUCCUACUCUUUAAAUGCCAAUCAUCAAGCAAAGUCUUGAUGUGUAAUUGUGGUGAUAAUUUUUUUGGAAAUAACCUGAAACAUUAUAAUAUGGGUAAUCAUAGUGGAUUACCUUGUUAAUUUGGAUUUUUUUUAUUUCUAAAUGUAAAUUGAAUUUCUAAUAAUUUUAGUUGUGAAGAAAGAUUUAGGGUUCAAUUUCUCACUUUAUCUAGAUAGAAUUGGUUGUAAUUUUGUUCAAGAUUGGUCACUGAUAGUUUUUGAAAUGUAUGAUUUUUUUCUUUUCUUGUUCUUUAUGAUUUAGAAACUUCUUCAAAGUUUAGAAAAUAGUUGUUUACCAUUGGACAAGUCCAUAAAUACAAAGGUGGUUUCGGAGCACUGGUCAGGUGGAUAAUCUAUUACAGAUUCUUGUUUAUUAUCAAUCUUGAAGAUAUAUGCUGAUUGCGGAGGUUAAAAUUGAAUGAAUUUUUUUUGUGUGUAUCUGUGGAAAGGCUAUGCAUUGUUUUAUUUGCCAAUACUAAGCAUUUAAAUACAAAUAGUGCAUUAAGGCAACCUUAUUGGAAGAAGAGAGUGUUCGCUUGGAUGUAAUGAUUAUUAAAUUUUCUUACUUGAUAUUUCUCUUAUCAGUUCCUAUCAUUUCUGUGUCUAUGGAACAUUAUAUUAUGAAGCUAUGGCACCAGACAGUCAGAAAAGAUUCCUGCCUGAACUACUUAUGUGAUCUUCUUUCUGUUUUCCAUUUUGGCCCUAUAUUGCUUUCCAUGUCUCAUUCAAAUGAGGUGUCUCUUUAAUAAAUGCAACUUUCAAUAUUCUUUCUUCUAUAUUAAUAAAUGAAACUCUCAAUAUUCUUUAUUGUAUGUCCUCUCUUAUUGUUAUGUUAUGAAACAUAUAGACUUAAAUGACUAAUUUAUGGUGAAAUGCUUUCGUUUCUCAAACUAAGACCCAAAAAUAGCUACUUGGUUCGAAAAAUGUUGUAUAAUAGAAGCAUUAGCUCUUUGUAUAAUUUUUGUUUCAAUAUUUAUUUACUAGAUUAUGUUAGUAACAGCAACAAGGUUUUUAAGGAGGCUUUUGUCUGAAAAUGAGGGAAAGGUGAAGCUAACAAAUGACAAAUGUUUCAUAUUUUCAUUAGCCAUGGAAAUUAGUUGAGUUCUUGCUAGAUUUGUGAAAUAUUAUUUUUUCUAUAGAAUGGGAAGAUUGCAUUUCGGGAAAAGAAGAGUUUUAAGGAGGUAAUAUAUGAUUUAGUUUCUCUUCUUUUACAUUUCCUACAACGCAAUAAUUUUUUAUGCUAUUAUUCAUGUUUCUGAUGUGGGGUUUUGGCAUGAUGCAGACACCAAGAGGAUUGAAAGCCAUGGGGUGUAUAGAAAGUGAUUCAGAUUGAAGGUACAUUAAUGGC